RNAcentral lists this ribosomal RNA (514 nucleotides) under uncultured bacterium. RNAcentral's name for it is "partial 16S ribosomal RNA". It matches the Rfam family "Bacterial small subunit ribosomal RNA", at positions 29 to 523 of the family's 1533-position model. The record is from RNAcentral.
AGUGAACGCUGGCGGUAUGCCUAAUACAUGCAAGUCGAACGCUGAAGCACUCUGCUUGCAGAGUGUGGAUGAGUGGCGAACGGGUGAGUAACACGUGGGGAACCUGCCCAUAAGAGGGGGAUAACAUCCGGAAACGGGUGCUAAUACCGCAUAGGUGAUCAUAGCGCAUGCUUAGAUCAUUAAAGAUGGCUUCGGCUAUCGCUUAUGGAUGGCCCCGCGGCGUAUUAGCUAGUUGGUGAGGUAAUGGCUCACCAAGGCUGUGAUACGUAGCCGACCUGAGAGGGUGAUCGGCAACACUGGAACUGAGACACGGUCCAGACUCCUACGGGAGGCAGCAGUAGGGAAUCUUCCACAAUGGGCGAAAGCCUGAUGGAGCAAUACCGCGUGAGUGAAGAAGGUCUUCGGAUCGUAAAGCUCUGUUGUUAGAGAAGAACAAGAGGUGUAGUAACUGGCACCUCCUUGACGGUAUCUAACCAGAAAGUCACGGCUAACUACGUGCCAGCCGCCGCCGUAA